RNAcentral lists this ribosomal RNA (497 nucleotides) under uncultured bacterium. RNAcentral describes it as "partial 16S ribosomal RNA". It matches the Rfam family "Bacterial small subunit ribosomal RNA", at positions 28 to 507 of the family's 1533-position model. The record is from RNAcentral.
GAUGAACGCUGGCGGCGUGCCUAAUACAUGCAAGUCGAGCGAACGGACGAGGAGCUUGCUUCUCUGAUGUUAGCGGCGGACGGGUGAGUAACACGUGGAUAACCUACCUAUAAGACUGGGAUAACUUCGGGAAACCGGAGCUAAUACCGGAUGAUAUUUUGAACCGCAUGGUUCAAUAGUGAAAGACGGUCUUGCUGUCACUUAUAGAUGGAUCCGCGCUGCAUUAGCUAGUUGGUAAGGUAACGGCUUACCAAGGCAACGAUGCAUAGCCGACCUGAGAGGGUGAUCGGCCACACUGGAACUGAGACACGGUCCAGACUCCUACGGGAGGCAGCAGUAGGGAAUCUUCCGCAAUGGGCGAAAGCCUGACGGAGCAACGCCGCGUGAGUGAUGAAGGUCUUCGGAUCGUAAAACUCUGUUAUUAGGGAAGAACAAAUGUGUAAGUAACUGUGCACGUCUUGACGGUACCUAAUCAGAAAGCCACGGCUAACUACGUG